GCUCUCAUAGCUCAGAUGGAUAGAGCAUUGGUUUCCUAAACCAAGGGUCAUAGGUUCGAAUCCUAUUGAGAGCG
RNAcentral lists this transfer RNA (74 nucleotides) under Deltaproteobacteria bacterium. RNAcentral describes it as "tRNA-Arg". It matches the Rfam family "tRNA". Rfam says of the family: Transfer RNA (tRNA) molecules are approximately 80 nucleotides in length. Their secondary structure includes four short double-helical elements and three loops (D, anti-codon, and T loops). Lineage: Bacteria; Pseudomonadati; Myxococcota; Myxococcia. The record is from RNAcentral.